GAAGGGGGCUAGCGUUGCUCGGAAUCACUGGGCGUAAAGCGCACGUAGGCGGACUCUUAAGUCGGGGGUGAAAUCCUGGAGCUCAACUCCAGAACUGCCUUCGAUACUGGGAGUCUCGAGUUCGGGAGAGGUGAGUGGAACUGCGAGUGUAGAGGUGAAAUUCGUAGAUAUUCGCAAGAACACCAGUGGCGAAGGCGGCUCACUGGCCCGAUACUGACGCUGAUGUGCGAAAGCGUGGGGAGCGAACAGGAUUAGAUACCCUGGUAGUCCACGCCGUAAACGAUGAAUGCUAGCCGUUGGCGGGUUUACUCGUCAGUGGCGCAGCUAACGCUUUAAGCAUUCCGCCUGGGGAGUACGGUCGCAAGAUUA
Molecule: ribosomal RNA, 369 nt
Filed under: uncultured bacterium
Lineage: Bacteria
Description: bacterial SSU rRNA
Rfam family: Bacterial small subunit ribosomal RNA
Source: RNAcentral